UACGAAGGGGGCCAGCGUUGUUCGGAAUUACUGGGCGUAAAGCGCAUGCAGGCGGAUCGCUAAGUCAGGGGUGAAAGCCCGAGGCUCAACCUCGGAACUGCCUUUGAUACUGGCGAUCUUGAGUCCGGGAGAGGUGAGUGGAACUCCGAGUGUAGAGGUGAAAUUCGUAGAUAUUCGGAAGAACACCAGUGGCGAAGGCGGCUCACUGGCCCGGUACUGACGCUGAGAUGCGAAAGCGUGGGGAGCAAACAGG
This 253-nucleotide ribosomal RNA is filed under the name uncultured bacterium. RNAcentral's name for it is "partial 16S ribosomal RNA". It matches the Rfam family "Bacterial small subunit ribosomal RNA", at positions 524 to 776 of the family's 1533-position model. The record is from RNAcentral.